AACGCAUGCUGGACGUAUCAGAAGUGCGAAUGCUGACAUGAGUAACGAUAAAGGGGGUGAAAAACCUCCUCGCCGGAAGACCAAGGGUUCCUGUCCAACGUUAAUCGGGGCAGGGUAAGUCGACCCCUAAGGCGAGGCCGAAAGGCGUAGUCGAUGGGAAACGGGUUAAUAUUCCCGUACUUCUUACAAUUGCGAUGGGGGGACGGAGAAGGCUAGGUGGGCCUGGCGACGGUUGUCCAGGUUCAAGUGCGUAGGCUUAAGAGUUAGGUAAAUCCGGCUCUUUUUAAGGCUGAGACACGACGUCGAGCCACUACGGUGGUGAAGUCAUUGAUGCCAUGCUUCCAGGAAAAGCCUCUAAGCUUCAGAUUGUAAGGAAUCGUACCCCAAACCGACACAGGUGGUCGGGUAGAGAAUACCAAGGCGCUUGAGAGAACUCGGGUGAAGGAACUAGGCAAAAUGGUACCGUAACUUCGGGAGAAGGUACGCUCUUGAUGGUGAAGUCCCUUGCGGAUGGAGCUGACGAGAGUCGCAGAUACCAGGUGGCUGCAACUGUUUAUUAAAAACACAGCACUGUGCAAAAUCGUAAGAUGACGUAUACGGUGUGACGCCUGCCCGGUGCCGGAAGGUUAAUUGAUGGGGUUAGACUUCGGUCGAAGCUCUUGAUCGAAGCCCCGGUAAACGGCGGCCGUAACUAUAACGGUCCUAAGGUAGCGAAAUUCCUUGUCGGGUAAGUUCCGACCUGCACGAAUGGCGUAAUGAUGGCCACGCUGUCUCCACCCGAGACUCAGUGAAAUUGAAAUCGCUGUGAAGAUGCAGUGUACCCGCGGCUAGACGGAAAGACCCCGUGAACCUUUACUACAGCUUGGCACUGAACAUUGACCCUACAUGUGUAGGAUAGGUGGGAGGCUUUGAAGCACGUACGCCAGUAUGUGUGGAGCCGUCCUUGAAAUACCACCCUUGUAGUGUUGAUGUUCUAACGUCGACCCCUAAUCGGGGUUGCGGACAGUGCCUGGUGGGUAGUUUGACUGGGGCGGUCUCCUCCCAAAGAGUAACGGAGGAGCACGAAGGUGGGCUAAUCACGGUUGGACAUCGUGAGGUUAGUGCAAUGGCAUAAGCCCGCUUGACUGCGAGAAUGACAAUUCGAGCAGGUGCGAAAGCAGGUCAUAGUGAUCCGGUGGUUCUGAAUGGAAGGGCCAUCGCUCAACGGAUAAAAGGUACUCCGGGGAUAACAGGCUGAUACCGCCCAAGAGUUCAUAUCGACGGCGGUGUUUGGCACCUCGAUGUCGGCUCAUCACAUCCUGGGGCUGAAGUCGGUCCCAAGGGUAUGGCUGUUCGCCAUUUAAAGUGGUACGCGAGCUGGGUUUAGAACGUCGUGAGACAGUUCGGUCCCUAUCUGCCGUGGGCGUUGGAAGAUUGAAGGGGGCUGCUCCUAGUACGAGAGGACCGGAGUGGACGAACCUCUGGUGUUCGGGUUGUGUCGCCAGACGCAUUGCCCGGUAGCUAAGUUCGGAAUCGAUAACCGCUGAAAGCAUCUAAGCGGGAAGCGAGCCCUGAGAUGAGUCUUCCCUGAUACUUUAAGUAUCCUAAAGGGUUGUCGGAGACUACGACGUUGAUAGGUCAGGUGUGUAAGUGCUGUGAGGCAUUGAGCUAACUGAUACUAAUUGCCCGUGAGGCUUAACCAUACAACACCCAAGGGGUUU
Molecule: ribosomal RNA, 1700 nt
Filed under: Vibrio parahaemolyticus
Lineage: Bacteria; Pseudomonadati; Pseudomonadota; Gammaproteobacteria; Vibrionales; Vibrionaceae
Description: partial 23S ribosomal RNA
Rfam family: Bacterial large subunit ribosomal RNA
Source: RNAcentral